UCAAGCGAACAAGUGCAUGUGGUGGAUGCCUUGGCGAUCACAGGCGAUGAAGGACGCGGUAGCCUGCGAAAAGCUACGGGGAGCUGGCAAACGAGCUUUGAUCCGUAGAUGUCCGAAUGGGGAAACCCGGCCCUUUUGGGUCAUCCUGGACUGAAUACAUAGGUCCAGUGAAGCGAACGCGGUGAACUGAAACAUCUAAGUAACCGCAGGAAAAGAAAUCAACCGAGAUUCCCAAAGUAGUGGCGAGCGAAAUGGGAUGAGCCUUGCACUCUUUAUUUGUAUUGUUAGCCGAACGCUCUGGAAAGUGCGGCCAUAGCAGGUGAUAGCCCUGUAGGCGAAAACAGUAUGAAAGAACUAGGUGUGCGACAAGUAGGGCGGGACACGUGAAAUCCUGUCUGAAGAUGGGGGGACCAUCCUCCAAGGCUAAAUACUCGUGAUCGACCGAUAGUGAACCAGUACCGUGAGGGAAAGGCGAAAAGAACCCCGGGAGGGGAGUGAAAUAGAUCCUGAAACCGCAUGCAUACAAACAGUCGGAGCCUCGCAAGGGGUGACGGCGUACCUUUUGUAUAAUGGGUCAGCGACUUACGUUCAGUAGCAAGCUUAACCGUAUAGGGAAGGCGUAGCGACAGCGAGUCCGAAUAGGGCGUUCAGUUGCUGGGCGUAGACCCGAAACCAGGUGAUCUAUCCAUGGCCAGGAUGAAGGUGCGGUAACACGUACUGGAGGUCCGAACCCACUAACGUUGAAAAGUUAGGGGAUGAGCUGUGGAUAGGGGUGAAAGGCUAAACAAACCUGGAAAUAGCUGGUUCUCUCCGAAAACUAUUUAGGUAGUGCCUCGUGUCUCACCUUCGGGGGUAGAGCACUGUCAUGGUUGGGGGGUCUAUUGCAGAUUACCCCGCCAUAGCAAACUCCGAAUACCGAAGAGUGCAAUCACGGGAGACAGACAUCGGGUGCUAACGUCCGGUGUCAAGAGGGAAACAACCCAGACCGCCAGCUAAGGUCCCCAAAUAUAGCUAAGUGGGAAACGAAGUGGGAAGGCUAAAACAGUCAGGAGGUUGGCUUAGAAGCAGCCACCCUUUAAAGAAAGCGUAAUAGCUCACUGAUCGAGUCGUCCUGCGCGGAAGAUGUAACGGGGCUAAGCUAUAUACCGAAGCUGCGGAUGCGAGCUUGCUCGCAUGGUAGGAGAGCGUUCCGUAAGCCUGCGAAGGUGCCUUGUAAAGGGUGCUGGAGGUAUCGGAAGUGCGAAUGCUGACAUGAGUAGCGAUAAAGGGGGUGAAAGGCCCCCUCGCCGUAAGCCCAAGGUUUCCUACGCAACGUUCAUCGGCGUAGGGUGAGUCGGCCCCUAAGGCGAGGCAGAAAUGCGUAGCUGAUGGGAAGCAGGUCAAUAUUCCUGCACCAUUGUUAGAUGCGAUGGGGGGACGGAUCGCGGAAGGUUGUCCGGGUGUUGGAAGUCCCGGUCGCUGCAUUGGAGAAGGCGCUUAGGCAAAUCCGGGCGCGCAAUUCAAGGGUGUGGCGCGAGCUCCUUAGGGAGCGAAGCAAUUGGAAGUGGUUCCAAGAAAAGCCUCUAAGCUUCAGUCUAACGAUGACCGUACCGCAAACCGACACAGGUGGGCGAGAUGAGUAUUCUAAGGCGCUUGAGAGAACUCGGGAGAAGGAACUCGGCAAAUUGGUACCGUAACUUCGGGAUAAGGUACGCCCUUGUAGCUUGACUGGCCUGCGCCAGGAGGGUGAAGGGGUUGCAAUAAACUGGUGGCUGCGACUGUUUAAUAAAAACACAGCACUCUGCAAACACGAAAGUGGACGUAUAGGGUGUGACGCCUGCCCGGUGCCGGAAGAUUAAAUGAUGGGGUGCAAGCUCUUGAUUGAAGUCCCGGUAAACGGCGGCCGUAACUAUAACGGUCCUAAGGUAGCGAAAUUCCUUGUCGGGUAAGUUCCGACCUGCACGAAUGGCGUAACGAUGGCCACACUGUCUCCUCCCGAGACUCAGCGAAGUUGAAGUGUUUGUGAUGAUGCAAUCUACCCGCGGCUAGACGGAAAGACCCCAUGAACCUUUACUGUAGCUUUGCAUUGGACUUUGAACCGAUCUGUGUAGGAUAGGUGGGAGGCUAUGAAACCGGAACGCUAGUUUCGGUGGAGCCGUCCUUGAAAUACCACCCUGGUUUGUUUGAGGUUCUAACCUUGGCCCGUGAUCCGGGUCGGGGACAGUGCAUGGUAGGCAGUUUGACUGGGGCGGUCUCCUCCCAAAGCGUAACGGAGGAGUACGAAGGUACGCUAGGUACGGUCGGAAAUCGUGCUGAUAGUGCAAUGGCAUAAGCGUGCUUAACUGCGAGACCGACAAGUCGAGCAGGUGCGAAAGCAGGUCAUAGUGAUCCGGUGGUUCUGUAUGGAAGGGCCAUCGCUCAACGGAUAAAAGGUACUCUGGGGAUAACAGGCUGAUACCGCCCAAGAGUUCAUAUCGACGGCGGUGUUUGGCACCUCGAUGUCGGCUCAUCUCAUCCUGGGGCUGUAGCCGGUCCCAAGGGUAUGGCUGUUCGCCAUUUAAAGAGGUACGUGAGCUGGGUUUAAAACGUCGUGAGACAGUUUGGUCCCUAUCUGCCGUGGGCGUUGGAUAUUUGAAGGGGGCUGCUCCUAGUACGAGAGGACCGGAGUGGACGAACCUCUGGUGUACCGGUUGUCACGCCAGUGGCAUCGCCGGGUAGCUAUGUUCGGAAGAGAUAACCGCUGAAAGCAUCUAAGCGGGAAACUCGCCUUAAGAUGAGAUAUCCCUGGGGACUAGAUCCCCUUGAAGGGUCGUUCGAGACCAGGACGUUGAUAGGUCAGGUGUGUAAGCGCAGUAAUGCGUUCAGCUAACUGAUACUAAUUGCCCGUAAGGCUUGAUCC
RNAcentral lists this ribosomal RNA (2878 nucleotides) under Burkholderia sola. Its description in RNAcentral is "23S ribosomal RNA". It matches the Rfam family "Bacterial large subunit ribosomal RNA". The record is from RNAcentral. Lineage: Bacteria; Pseudomonadati; Pseudomonadota; Betaproteobacteria; Burkholderiales; Burkholderiaceae.